Molecule: transfer RNA, 69 nt
Filed under: Priodontes maximus
Lineage: Eukaryota; Metazoa; Chordata; Mammalia; Cingulata; Chlamyphoridae
Description: tRNA-Asp
Source: RNAcentral
AAGGCAUUAAUAAAACAGUUAUAUAACUUUGUCRAAGUUAAAUUAUAGGUUAAAUCCCUUUAUGCCUUC